UCCGAAUAAACAAAAUUAAGGAAUGAAUAACUGUAACAGUAAGUAUAUGGUCAAGUUGUUCAAGGGGGCAGAGAGGAAAACCCACACAAUAUGAGCUAUGUAAUGGAGGUGAGACGGGCAAGCGCCAUCAAGUUAUGUUACUACUUCCCGUGGCCUGUACUAUCAGCAGAAUGGAUCUGAAGGAAUUGUGAAUCGUUAACUUGAAGGAGUCCACAUACUACCAACAGAAUCUUUCACGUAAAAGUUAAUCAUUUGUUGUUUGUCAAAUGAUGGAAUUUACACCUAAAAAAUAUAUGAUCAAGGGAUUUAAGAUUCAACCAAGUGAAAGUCCGAGGACUUAGAGAAAAGGAAGAAUGUGCCAGGGAGCUUUGCUUCUGGAGCUCAAUGCAUCAUUUCGCUUCCAACAGUAAUAAUGCUGCUGUGACCUGCAUUAUGUAUAGAGAUUUGAUGAGGAUUAUCAAUACUAGUAACUAGGAAGCAACAUACGAUCAAAUAACAUUUUUGAAAUUUUACACUUACUUGAAACACGUGAAUUUACGUUAUUGGAUGAUACUAUAACUCUUACAGGGAGAAACGGACAAAAUGUACUAGACAGAAACUAUAG
Molecule: long non-coding RNA, 604 nt
Filed under: Nicotiana tabacum (common tobacco)
Lineage: Eukaryota; Viridiplantae; Streptophyta; Magnoliopsida; Solanales; Solanaceae
Description: long non-coding RNA (NTAB_LNC009465)
Source: RNAcentral